UGCUGCUGUAGUUGCAUAGCGAAUUGUAUUUGUACCUGCUUAUGCCAAAUCAUUUUCACUAUUCUCAUUAUUGUUGGCAUAAUUGUUUUGGUACUCUGGCUUAUUUUCCGCCCCAACACCGUCAAAUUCUACGCCAAUGAUGCCUCUCUGACGGAAUUCAAUUACAAUAACAACACGCUGCACUACAACUUGGCGCUCAAUUUGACGAUCAGAAACCCUAACAGGCGAAUUGGAAUUUACUAUGAUCGGAUCGAGGCAAGGGCCUUAUAUGAAGGCCAGAGAUUUGAUAGCGUUCAACUGACACCGUUUUAUCAAGGCCAUAAAAGUACCAAUUCGUUGAGGGCGGAAUUCAGAGGGCAAAGGGUUGUUUUACUCGGAAAUAGAGAGAUUUCGAACUAUAAUGAGGACAGGAAUUCUGGUAUGUUUGAUAUUGAAGUAAUGCUUUACCUGCGCAUUAGGCUGAAAUUCGGAUUUGUGAAAUCGACAAGAGUGAAGCCGAAUAUCGAGUGCGAUUUGAGGAUUCCUCUACGUUCCAACGGC
RNAcentral lists this long non-coding RNA (540 nucleotides) under Olea europaea (common olive). Its description in RNAcentral is "long non-coding RNA (OEUR_LNC004409)". Lineage: Eukaryota; Viridiplantae; Streptophyta; Magnoliopsida; Lamiales; Oleaceae. The record is from RNAcentral.